Molecule: long non-coding RNA, 1146 nt
Filed under: Equus asinus (donkey)
Lineage: Eukaryota; Metazoa; Chordata; Mammalia; Perissodactyla; Equidae
Description: lncRNA (ENSEASG00005036208.1)
Source: RNAcentral
AUCUGUCAAACUCUCAACCCUCAGCAUCUUCCCACUGUGCUAGUUCCUUCUGCCUGGCUUGCUCUCUUCUCUGCUUGGAAAACUCUUAUAAAUCCUUCAAGCCUUACUCAUUCGCUGCCUCUGACCCGAUAACGAAUUUCUCCCUCUCUCAUCCGGGCCCAGGAGCCUCUGUCUGGCUCUCACCAGUAUAGCAACGGGGAGUUUCCUGUCAGUCUCCCCGGCUGCUGUGAGCUCCUUAAGGCAGAAGGCCUGGCACACAGUAGGUGCAGAGUUCGUAGUUGCUGAAGGAUCGAAUGUGAGCAGGAUGCAUUUCCCCAAGGCUAGAGCUGUCAAAUCAAGGGGAAACCCACCAGGCAUACCACCGGCAGAGCUGGAUCAGCCAUGUGAAAAGAGGAAAAGUGAGCAUGGCAGCCAGGACCUGUGCCUUUCUCAAGGUCUGCGUGUGAUGUUCCCAGCAAAGGCCACAGAGGUUGCCCUGCGACCUGUGUCCUGCAGGGUCACCUCUGCUGGGCAGCAGUCAUGUCUUCAGACAACUGGAGAGUAUGUUGGGGGAAGGUCAUCUUGCAGUGCCCAUGGUGAAGUGACAGACCCACUGCCUGCAGAAGGCACCCUUUGAAAGAAAAACCAGCUUCCAGGGAUGCUCACAGCCUCCUCGUUAGUCAUUCUGCCUGAGGCAAGUGGGGAGGCCUCACAAGGAAUUCUAAGUUUUUUCUUGGACCCAGUUGGACCCCAUCAUUGGCUGCUCACCGGAGACUAGGGAGUUCCUUUUCACUCGGUUACCUUCAUGAAGUUGCAUUUCAACAUUAGGCCCUUAACUUGAUAAAGAUCACUAAAGAAAAAUCACGUGAAAUUUACUACUUCAUUUGCUGCUUUAGAAAACCCGAAAUAUUGUUGAAGACCUCAUUCCUUCCGUUGCUCAGUCUCUGUUCUGUGUAAUAAAAUCAUUCCCAUGAAAUUUCCUUCAGAAUUCAGUGCCGGGAAAGGCUUCCACUCCUGGAGGCACACAUACGCUCCCUCUUCUCCAGUUAUGAGAACCCUAUAACUGGUCAUUGUUCCCACUUUUUGGACUGCUAAGAAAUGCAAAGCCAAGUUUGAGGAUCAAUGACAGCAAUUUUGGUAACUCUUGGGGGAAAUAUAUUCAUGUCU